This 328-nucleotide ribosomal RNA is filed under the name uncultured eukaryote. Its description in RNAcentral is "partial 18S ribosomal RNA". It matches the Rfam family "Eukaryotic small subunit ribosomal RNA", at positions 1470 to 1796 of the family's 1831-position model. The record is from RNAcentral.
CCCUUAGAUGUCCUGGGCCGCACGCGCGUUACACUGAUGCAUUCAACGAGCUUAUAACCUUGGCCGAGAGGCCUGGGCAAUCUUGUUAACGUGCAUCGUGAUAGGGAUAGAUUAUUGAAAUUAUUAAUCUUGAACGAGGAAUUCCUAGUAAACGCAGAUCAUCAAUCUGCAUUGAUUACGUCCCUGCCCUUUGUACACACCGCCCGUCACACCUACCGAUUGGAUGGUCCGGUGAAGCCUCAGGAUUGUGGUUCUUGCCGCUUUAUUGUGGCGUGACCGCGAGAACUUGUCUAAACCUUAUCAUCUAGAGGAAGGUGAAGUCGUAACA